This is a long non-coding RNA of Gopherus evgoodei (Goodes thornscrub tortoise), 5676 nucleotides long. RefSeq lists it as uncharacterized. The record is from RefSeq and is a predicted model, not a curated record. The transcript has 2 exons. NCBI's taxonomy places the organism in Eukaryota, Metazoa, Chordata, Testudines, Testudinidae.
GUCACCUCCACGGGCCCGCUGCCCCAGGCAGCCGCUGCAAACCCCCCGCAACCACUCGGGCAGGGGGAGCCCCGGCCCGCCAGAGGCCUAGCGCAGGGGCGCAAGCCGGACACGGGGGGGGGCUGAGCCGCCUCUGCGCGCGUUGCACGAAGGCUGAAGCCGAGCGGCACCCGGGGGCCCAGACCGCGGCUUUCCCCGAGCCCAGCCCCUUUGUAACACAGGAGUCCCCCGGGAGCCCUGCACCGGGAGCCCGCUGGCUGGUUCCCAGCCCUAAGAACAGGCGGGACAAGGGCAGCAGCACAACGCCCGGGGGACUCAGCUCUGGUCACUUAAACCUCCGAGCACCUGAUAAAUGGAUCUGGCCCUGGGGUGAAAGCAGGGACUGAAGACGUGCACGAGCAGGCUUCAGCUAGCACCAAUCAGGCUUUGUAUUAGCAUGAAGCCUCCCUGGGAAGUGUUUAUCUCGGCUUCAUUUCUAUUAUAACUUAGUCUUGCAAAACUCGGUUCUAGAUGGCUGGGAGGUGUUUACAUGAAUAAAAUAUCAUGGGGUUUUAUGCUGCUAAAGGGAUUCUAGUCUGGGGCUGGUAGAUUUUCAUUCCACUUUUAUAAAGCUAGUACAGAUGGUGUAUACAGACAGUCCUUGACUUUACAACCUUUGAUUUACAAAGAACAGCACUUAGGUGGUUUCUGAAUUGAUACACAGAUUAAAUUUAUGACAGUUGGUUUCAAUUUUAUGAUGCUCAGGCCUACAAGGGCCUGUAUUGCAAUUCCGAGUUAUGACAUUUCCACUUACAACACAAUUUUCAGGAACCCCUGGUCACAGGGCCAAGGACUGCCUCUACUUAUAACAUCUUCAGGCCAAAGUGCUUUGAGACCUCUGGUUGUAACAGCUGCUGUUAUAUAAUAAAUGGUAAACAGCAGGUGCAUCUCAUUCUAACAUGACCAGUAAGUCUGCAGCAAAUACGUGUCUUUCCUUCUGUCUGGUUUCAUAGAUACCAAAGCCAGAAGGACCUAUUGUAAUCAUCCAGUCUGAAAUCCUGCAUAACACAAACCAUAGCACUUCUCCAAAAUAAUUCCUAGAGCAUGUGUUUCUCUAAAACAUCCCAGCUUCAUUCUAAGAUUGCAGUUACAGAGAAUCCACCAUGUUCCAAUGGUUAAUUACUAGCAUUGUCAAAAGAUGUAUGCCUUAGGUCAAGCCUAAAUUUGUCUAGUUUCAACUUCCAGCCAGGGGUUGUGUUAUAACUUUUUUCAAACAGCCUCUACCCCGCAUUCCUUAUCCAUGAACUCAUAAUUUAUCUUUUUCUUCUUGUAAAAAUAUACUCUCAACUCCUCAAAACAGCACUGAUCAUUUGAGGAAGAAAAUUUUCAAACAAGUUUAUUUAAAAGUUAGUCAAAUUCAUCACUGAGGGCACUGCAAUGAAGUUAGGGUUGAAUUUGGCCUGGUAUGUUAUUAUUUUCCUUCUUAAAAAAAUGCACAUUAAAAAAUGAGACAGAAGUGAUUAAAAAAGCAUUUCAGUCAUCUUUAAACCUAGUAAAAAACAGGAAGCCUUAUUUUAACACUACAAAUUAAACACUAGCAAAAAAAUCUUCAAAUUUCAAAUCCUCUUUUAGUCAUGUGCAUUAACAGUCUUUUCCAUCUUGCAUAAUCUCUUACAGUUACAGCUCCAGCUCCUCCUCCUGCCAAUUGCUUUAGUUAUAAUCAUGCCACUUGUCUGUCAGAUUUUUUUUAAAAGUCACUAAGGGAGAAGAAGUGGGCCCAACAAACUUACAUAAAACAUCAGGAGACAUUAAUCCAAGCACCAUAUUCACAGCAGUGAAUUAAUUUUGUCUGAGACAGUUUCCCUCUCCUUUGUGCCAGUUGACUUAUGCAGCUUCAAAUCUCUUCUGAGAACUCACAUUUUGCUUUUGUUUCCACCAUUUAUCUCAGCUCUGACUCUGACCCAUUACAAAAAAAAGUGAAACAGCAUGAGAUUGUUUAUGGAAUCUAUUUUCUAUGUAAAUGCUUCACUUACCCAACAGAUGUAUUUCCUUCCCAUUGUUUACUGUUUCUCCUCCACCAUGUCCCUAUCCUUGUACUCACCAUACUCUAGUGCUAUCAUUUAUGGCAUUUACAUUGCAGGGACCUUUUCUUAUAUUACAAAUCAUUUAUACAAUAAUGUUGUGAAUGUACGCAGUAUUUUACAAAGCUAGAUAAGCUACCCCAAAGAGCUUACACUAUAAAUGAGUUCAAUAGGGAAAAAGUUGGAUUUCUGAAUGAGACGUAAAGGAGGAUUACUUGAAGAGGAGAAUGAGAGCAGAUGAGGAUAGGGAAAGCUCUCCAGAGACAGGGGGCAAGUAUGAUAGAAGGCACCCAGCUAAGAGUGGAGAAAAAGAGCAAAAAGACCAAGGCUUUUAGGUGAAAAGAAAUUUGAACAUGAUGCAGUAAGAGACAAAACCAAUAGAGGAAUUCAAGAAGAAAAGUGAUAUGGUUGGAGAGGAAAAGCAGAAGACUACAUUAGGUACAGAAUUUUGAACCAAUUGAAAAGCAGAAGGAUGUGAAAAGCAGGGAGGCCAGAGAGUAGGUUAUAGUGAUCAAAGAAUGAUGAAUGGCAUAUGGACAAAGUCUUUUAGUGGACAAAGGGUGGAUUAAAGAGAAAGUGACAACUUUGUGAAAUAUUCACUACAUGGUUAGAAGAGAGUCACAUAACAUGAAGCACAGAGUGGUAUUCUCUGUGGAAAGGAAGAGGAAUGAGAGGAAAGAGAGACAUUCCAUUUUGGAAAGACCGAGCUGGCAGUCGGAGAGACAACUAAAAAAAAGACUGGAUAGUCAGGGAAAGGUGAAGAAAGUAUGAGAAGUCAGCUGCAUAAAAGUCGCAGUGUCUUAAUUUUGUUCACUACAAGGCAUAUUAAUAGUACCAAGCUGAUCAUGGUACCAUUGCUGAUCUGAUUCUUUACUAACAGUUUCAUUAUAUUUUAUUAUUUUUAUUACGGUAGUGCUUGGGAGCCCUCGUCAUGGACCAGGACCGCAUUGUACUAGGCACUGUACAAAUAAAAGACAAAAAGGCAGUCCUUGUCCCAGAAAGCUUACAAUCUAAGCAUAAGACAAGAGACAAAAGAUAGAUAUAGACUGGCAAGGAGUACAAGAAAACAAAUCUACUCUUAAUAUUCAUCAGAGAAUAUGCAACAGUCUAGGGACACCUAGGCCAUCAGCAAGUGCAUACUGUAUACAGAAAAAAGAACCACAUCACCUGCAGCUCCAAAAAAAUCACAGGUUUCUACCCCCUGAACUAAAGAGGAAUCUCUCUCAGCAAUAGUAGAGCUUAUGUUUUCAGGUCAGCUUAUAGAAAGCAGUAUGAUUACAAACUGAAAUAUCUGACCAGGUCAUUCCAGCACGGGACAAACAAGCUAGUAUAUUACAUUCUGUUUACACACAAAAAUGAAGCUUCUCAAAACACACAGUUCUUUUAUGAAUCUAUUUUUGAUAGGCUUGUUUUAUCUGUGUUGCUUAUCAGUGAUUUGGCCUUCUGAUAGCCUUCCAUCUGACAGAAUAUGAAAUAGAACCAAUGUGUUCUUUAAUUAGAACUCGAGUGCAGCAAUAUGCUCAUGUUUUAAUUCUACAUUUAAACAGUUUCUGACAUUUUCUUAGUAUCUUACCUUUUAUAUCAGUCUUGUAUAAAUAGUGCAGGCAUGAUAUUAUGCCUCAAUAAUGUUAACAGUCAAUAAGUUAGCUUUUGAUUUAAAAUGCCAUACCUUCUUCUUAUUUUAAAAUGUCACUAAAAGUCUUUUGCACAAAAAAUAUAUUCUAAUUUUAAAAUAGCUACAAAAAUUCUGUAUAUUUGUAUACAAGUUCAUAUGGCCAUUGUUCAUAACACACUCAAACACUUCAAAACAUUUCUUAUUCCAAUUUUGUUCUUUCCUGUUUGUCCAAUAUUGAUAUUGUUCUGCUUCCACAUUUCUUACAGAGCACAACAGAGCACAGGUCUUGUUUUAUUUCUUUGUUCUUGCAUUAUCAUCAAUGAUGUAUGCACAGGUCUGAUACACAAAUACAGGAGUGACGAUAUUAGAACAGAAACUACAGCUCAGCCAAGAUUUGCAGAAGUGAUGGGUAUCUGUAUGUCCCCAACUUGACACUUUAGCUCAGCAGUUUCAAAAUGCAAAGCCUCUAAGCUGUUGAGUUGGGCACCGAAAAUCUGUAAUUGUUUUUGAAAAUCUUGGUCCUAGCCUGUCUCCAACAGUGACUAAUGCUGGAUUGCUUUAGAAAAAAUGUAAAUGCAAGACAGCGAGGCAUGGGGGAAUUUCUUCCUAACUUCAGUUGGUGAUCACUGUAUGGCUUGAGCCAUGAGGGCUGACAGCUCUAAGUCUAUCCUAGCUGCUCAGAGCUCAGGAUAUUUUCCGACACAAAUGUCCAAUCUCUUAAUACAAAUUUUUACUACACUAUUUAAGUCACAUUUCCUUUGGUCAGGAGCUAUAAAAUAGGAUCGUGAAGGCCAUCUCUACACAUUUUACAUCUAUCAUCUCUCCUCAGUUUUUCUUUUCCUUUCCUCUCCUGGAGAGUUCAUCUCAUACAAUCCCACUAUUACUGAAUGAAGUACCAAUAAUUUCCUACCAUCAACUUCUGUUCUACCAUUAAGUUUACUGUAUUAUUCUCUAUCCUAACAUUAAUAAUAAAUUAAUAUAUUAGCUGCAACAGCAGUACAAAAAUACUGUAGGGUCAUUCAAAAGACAGCCUAAACUUUUACUGAAAAUACACGUGACUAUGCAAGGUGAUGGACUGACAGGUUGGGGAAUUGAAGUGCAUGGCACCUAGAGAAUCUGCAAGGGCAGUGCAAGCUUCCCAGAUCUAUGUACCAGUUUCCCUCAAUCUUGAUUUGGAGGGACUAUCACUAGAGUUGAAAAGAGUUGUUGUUCCCUCAUCCAUUCAGUUCUUAGCUUCUCAGCUAAAACUGCCAACAAGAAUAGCAAUUACCAUAAUACCAGUUGUGGUAGUCUGUGUAUACUAGAAAACUGACUGACCCCAUGGAGUCAUUUCAUAUCAAUGGCUAAACAGACAAGUGGUAAAAAUACAUAACCCUCAACAAAAAAAGAGUGGAUUUAAAAAAGAUAGGUAUGUGGAAUCUACAGGAUAAUCUGCACCAUGCUAUGUUCAGUCUUCAGAUGUGGAACACUCCACUACCAGAGACCAAGCCAAACAAGAAUAAUUACUUUUAAAAUAGCAUGCAAGAGCCAUAUCCAUGCACAAGUCAUUUCUCAUUAACCACUGCGAAAGAACAGCCCAGCAACUCCUCUUACUGAGGCAACAGAUAAGGAACAACUAACUUAUUUGAGCAAUGUAACAACGGAAAGAUGACGUGUAAGCUCCUUUCAAUAGAAAAUGUGCUUAAUAAAUUAUGUAAAUAGAGGCUAGACUCUACAGAGACCAAGAAGUAGACAAAAGUGAUGAGGCCUUAGAUUUGGCAGUAUCCCUUGAAAUUUAUAUUUUUACCUUUUAAGUUAACAUUAAAUUUGACCAAUACAGUACAUGAACAUCCAAUUCAAGAUAACUUUGAUAAAGCAUCCUGAAAUCUGUUAAAACUCAUCUCCAUUUGUGAACAACUUAUUUUUCCUUUAUAGCACAUAAUAAAAUGUUAUUUUUACAGUUCGGGUGUAAGUUUAUGAUUUUGAAGUAUCAUGGUUCAGUAAAUCUGAAUCACUGCUCAA